This 1313-nucleotide ribosomal RNA is filed under the name Salmonella enterica. RNAcentral's name for it is "partial 23S ribosomal RNA". It matches the Rfam family "Bacterial large subunit ribosomal RNA", at positions 1638 to 2925 of the family's 2925-position model. The record is from RNAcentral. Lineage: Bacteria; Pseudomonadati; Pseudomonadota; Gammaproteobacteria; Enterobacterales; Enterobacteriaceae. RNAcentral also lists the same sequence under 1 other name.
CAAAUCGUACCCCAAACCGACACAGGUGGUCAGGUAGAGAAUACCAAGGCGCUUGAGAGAACUCGGGUGAAGGAACUAGGCAAAAUGGUGCCGUAACUUCGGGAGAAGGCACGCUGACACGUAGGUGAAGUGAUUUACUCAUGGAGCUGAAGUCAGUCGAAGAUACCAGCUGGCUGCAACUGUUUAUUAAAAACACAGCACUGUGCAAACACGAAAGUGGACGUAUACGGUGUGACGCCUGCCCGGUGCCGGAAGGUUAAUUGAUGGGGUCAGCGCAAGCGAAGCUCCUGAUCGAAGCCCCGGUAAACGGCGGCCGUAACUAUAACGGUCCUAAGGUAGCGAAAUUCCUUGUCGGGUAAGUUCCGACCUGCACGAAUGGCGUAAUGAUGGCCAGGCUGUCUCCACCCGAGACUCAGUGAAAUUGAACUCGCUGUGAAGAUGCAGUGUACCCGCGGCAAGACGGAAAGACCCCGUGAACCUUUACUAUAGCUUGACACUGAACAUUGAGCCUUGAUGUGUAGGAUAGGUGGGAGGCUUUGAAGUGUGGACGCCAGUCUGCAUGGAGCCGACCUUGAAAUACCACCCUUUAAUGUUUGAUGUUCUAACGUGGACCCGUUACCCGGGUUGCGGACAGUGUCUGGUGGGUAGUUUGACUGGGGCGGUCUCCUCCUAAAGAGUAACGGAGGAGCACGAAGGUUGGCUAAUCCUGGUCGGACAUCAGGAGGUUAGUGCAAUGGCAUAAGCCAGCUUGACUGCGAGCGUGACGGCGCGAGCAGGUGCGAAAGCAGGUCAUAGUGAUCCGGUGGUUCUGAAUGGAAGGGCCAUCGCUCAACGGAUAAAAGGUACUCCGGGGAUAACAGGCUGAUACCGCCCAAGAGUUCAUAUCGACGGCGGUGUUUGGCACCUCGAUGUCGGCUCAUCACAUCCUGGGGCUGAAGUAGGUCCCAAGGGUAUGGCUGUUCGCCAUUUAAAGUGGUACGCGAGCUGGGUUUAGAACGUCGUGAGACAGUUCGGUCCCUAUCUGCCGUGGGCGCUGGAGAACUGAGGGGGGCUGCUCCUAGUACGAGAGGACCGGAGUGGACGCAUCACUGGUGUUCGGGUUGUCAUGCCAAUGGCACUGCCCGGUAGCUAAAUGCGGAAGAGAUAAGUGCUGAAAGCAUCUAAGCACGAAACUUGCCCCGAGAUGAGUUCUCCCUGAGACUUAGAGUCUCCUGAAGGAACGUUGAAGACGACGACGUUGAUAGGCCGGGUGUGUAAGCGCAGCGAUGCGUUGAGCUAACCGGUACUAAUGAACCGUGAGGCUUAACCUUACA